AAAGAAUACUUGAUUUCAACUCAUAUAUACCCUGUGAUAUGGACGGGGAGUCUCUACCGAACAGCCGUUAACUGUUUGACUAUGAGUGGACCAGGCGUUGCG
This 102-nucleotide non-coding RNA is filed under the name Andreesenia angusta. Its description in RNAcentral is "Eubacterium angustum Guanine sequence". It matches the Rfam family "Purine riboswitch aptamer". From Rfam's summary of the family: Riboswitches are metabolite binding domains within certain messenger RNAs that serve as precision sensors for their corresponding targets. Allosteric rearrangement of mRNA structure is mediated by ligand binding, and this results in modulation of gene expression. The record is from Rfam by way of RNAcentral. Lineage: Bacteria; Bacillati; Bacillota; Tissierellia; Tissierellales; Gottschalkiaceae.